Molecule: ribosomal RNA, 1372 nt
Filed under: uncultured bacterium
Lineage: Bacteria
Description: bacterial SSU rRNA
Rfam family: Bacterial small subunit ribosomal RNA
Source: RNAcentral
GAUGAACGCUGGCGGCGUGCCUAAUACAUGCAAGUCGAGCGAACAGACGAGGAGCUUACUCCUCUGACGUUAGCGGCGGACGGGUGAGUAACACGUGGAUAACCUACCUAUAAGACUGGGAUAACUUCGGGAAACCGGAGCUAAUACCGGAUAACAUGUUGAACCGCAUGGUUCAACAGUGAAAGACGGUCUUGCUGUCACUUAUAGAUGGAUCCGCGUCGCAUUAGCUAGUUGGUAAGGUAACGGCUUACCAAGGCAACGAUGCGUAGCCGACCUGAGAGGGUGAUCGGCCACACUGGAACUGAGACACGGUCCAGACUCCUACGGGAGGCAGCAGUAGGGAAUCUUCCGCAAUGGGCGAAAGCCUGACGGAGCAACGCCGCGUGAGUGAAGAAGGUCUUCGGAUCGUAAAACUCUGUUAUUAGGGAAGAACAAAUGUGUAAGUAACUAUGCACGUCUUGACGGUACCUAAUCAGAAAGCCACGGCUAACUACGUGCCAGCAGCCGCGGUAAUACGUAGGUGGCAAGCGUUAUCCGGAAUUAUUGGGCGUAAAGCGCGCGUAGGCGGUUUUUUAAGUCUGAUGUGAAAGCCCACGGCUCAACCGUGGAGGGUCAUUGGAAACUGGAAAACUUGAGUGCAGAAGAGGAAAGUGGAAUUCCAUGUGUAGCGGUGAAAUGCGCAGAGAUAUGGAGGAACACCAGUGGCGAAGGCGACUUUCUGGUCUGUAACUGACGCUGAUGUGCGAAAGCGUGGGGAUCAAACAGGAUUAGAUACCCUGGUAGUCCACGCCGUAAACGAUGAGUGCUAAGUGUUAGGGGGUUUCCGCCCCUUAGUGCUGCAGCUAACGCAUUAAGCACUCCGCCUGGGGAGUACGACCGCAAGGUUGAAACUCAAAGGAAUUGACGGGGACCCGCACAAGCGGUGGAGCAUGUGGUUUAAUUCGAAGCAACGCGAAGAACCUUACCAAAUCUUGACAUCCUCUGACCCCUCUAGAGAUAGAGUUUUCCCCUUCGGGGGACAGAGUGACAGGGGGUGCAUGGUUGUCGUCAGCUCGUGUCGUGAGAUGUUGGGUUAAGUCCCGCAACGAGCGCAACCCUUAAGCUUAGUUGCCAUCAUUAAGUUGGGCACUCUAAGUUGACUGCCGGUGACAAACCGGAGGAAGGUGGGGAUGACGUCAAAUCAUCAUGCCCCUUAUGAUUUGGGCUACACACGUGCUACAAUGGACAAUACAAAGGGUAGCGAAACCGCGAGGUCAAGCAAAUCCCAUAAAGUUGUUCUCAGUUCGGAUUGUAGUCUGCAACUCGACUACAUGAAGCUGGAAUCGCUAGUAAUCGUAGAUCAGCAUGCUACGGUGAAUACGUUCCCGGGUCU